AGGGAUUGCCCUAGUAACGGCGAGUGAAGCGGCAACAGCUCAAAUUUGAAAUCUGGCCCCUUUGGGGUCCGAGUUGUAAUUUGCAGAGGGUGCUUUGGCGUUGGCGGCGGUCUAAGUUCCUUGGAACAGGACAUCGCAGAGGGUGAGAAUCCCGUAUGUGGUCGCAUGCCUUCGCCGUGUAAAGCCCCUUCGACGAGUCGAGUUGUUUGGGAAUGCAGCUCUAAAUGGGAGGUAAAUUUCUUCUAAAGCUAAAUACCGGCCAGAGACCGAUAGCGCACAAGUAGAGUGAUCGAAAGAUGAAAAGCACUUUGGAAAGAGAGUCAAACAGCACGUGAAAUUGUUGAAAGGGAAGCGCUUGCAGCCAGACUUGCCUGUAGUUGCUCACCCGGGCUCCUGCCCGGGGCACUCUUCUGCAGGCAGGCCAGCAUCAGUUUGGGCGGUCGGAUAAAGGGCUCUGACACGUACUUCCCCUCGGGGUUGACAUACAGGGGAGCCGCAAUGCGACCAGCCCGGACUGAGGUCCGCGCAUCUGCUAGGAUGCUGGCGUAAUGGCUGUAAGCGGCCCGUCUUGAAACACGGACCAAGGAGUCUAACAUCUAUGCGAGUGUUUGGGUGUCAAGCCCGAGCGCGUAAUGAAAGUGAACGGAGGUGGGAGCCCCUCGGGGUGCACCAUCGACCGAUCCUGAUGUCUUCGGAUGGAUUUGAGUAAGAGCAUAGCUGUUGGGACCCGAAAGAUGGUGAACUAUGCUUGAAUAGGGUGAAGCCAGAGGAAACUCUGGUGGAGGCUCGCAGCGGUUCUGACGUGCAAAUCGAUCGUCAAAUUUGGGCAUAGGGGCGAAAGACUAAUCGAACUAUCUAGUA
RNAcentral lists this ribosomal RNA (861 nucleotides) under Periconia macrospinosa. RNAcentral describes it as "eukaryotic LSU rRNA". It matches the Rfam family "Eukaryotic large subunit ribosomal RNA", at positions 70 to 949 of the family's 3401-position model. The record is from RNAcentral. Lineage: Eukaryota; Fungi; Ascomycota; Dothideomycetes; Pleosporales; Periconiaceae.